CUCAAAUGAAUUUAUCACAUCUGUAGUUGUAUAAUGAUCAUAACAAUCUGAUUUCACAGGAUUUCCAUCCCACAGCCCAGGCACAUCCCCCCACCCCCCCCCAAACUGUCUCCUCUGGAGACCAUAAGUUUUUCAAUGUCUGUGAGUCAGCAUCCGUUCUGCAAAGAAGUUCAGUCUGUCCUUUUUUCAGAUUCCACAUGUCAGUGAAAGCAUUUGAUGUUGGUGUCUCAAUGUAUGGCUGACUUCACUUAGCAUGAUAAUUUCUAGGUCCAUCCAUGUUGCAAAAAAUGCUGGUAUUUUGUUCUUUUUAAUGUCUGAGUAAUAUUCCAUUGUGUAUAUGUACCACAUCUUCUGGAUCCACUCCUCUGUCAAUGGACAUUUAGGUUGUUUCCAUGUCUUGGCUAUUGUAAAUAGUGCUGCAAUGAACAUUGGAGCACGUGUCUUUGCGAGUCAUGGUUUUCUCUGGAUAGAUGCCCAGGAGUGGGAUUACUGGAUCAAAUGGUAGUUCUAUGUUUAGUUUUCUGAGGAAUCUCCAUACUGCUUUCCACAGUGGUUGCACCAAUUUACAAUCCCUCCAACAGUGUACUGGUGUUCCUUUUCUCCACACCCUCUCCAGCACUUAUUGUUUGUAGACUUUUUGAUGAUGGCUAUUCUGGCUGGUGUAAGGUGGUACCUCAGAGUGGUUUUGAUUUGCAUCUCUCUAAUAAUGAGUGACGUUGAACAUCUUUUCAUGUGUUUCUUGGCCAUCUGUAUGUCUUCUUUGAAGAAUUGUCUGUUUAGAUCUUCUGCCCAUUUAUUGAUGGGGUUGUUUGUUUUUUUGGUAUGGAGCUGUAGAAGUUGUUUAUAAAUUUUGGAGAUGAAUCCCUGGUCAGUCGAUUCACUUGCAAAGAUUUUCUCCCAUUCUGUGGGUUGUCUUUUUGUGUUGUUUAGGUUUCCUUUGCUGUGCAGAAACUCUGAAGUUUGAUUAGAUUCCAUUUGUUUAUUUUUCUUUUUAUUGUCAAUACUCUGAAGGCAGAGACUUUUUAUUCGACAUUCAAAGUUGGAUCACAUCAACACAGGAGUCUAAAUAAUGACCCUUAAGAGCCAUUAUAAAAUGGAUUGAGUGGACUUCUCAGAGAAGCUCCACAGACAACACUUACUACUUUAGAUCUAGAAGCCACUCUAUUGUUGUUAUUGUUAAGAAUGAAUGACUUAAUAACUCUGAUUCCACUUUGGUCUCAACCUUGACAAUGUAUGAUUCAGAAAUGUGCCUGCCUUUGUCCCUAAUAAAGGGAGUUUCUUGAGUUAGAAAUUUAAUUUAUAUUUAUAAAGCAUUUAUAUUGAAUUAGGUAUUAUAAAUAAUCUAAUUUAAAAUGUACAAGAGGAUAGGAGUUGUCAUUGUGGCUCAAUGGGUUACAAAUCCAACUACUAUCCAUGAGGAUGUGAUUGUAUCCCUGCUUGCUCAGUGGGUUAAGGAUCUGGCAUUGCUGCGAGCUGUUGGGUAGGUCACAGAUGUAGCUUGGAUCCUGCAUUGCUGUGGCUGUGGCAUAGGCCCGCAGCUGCAGCUCCAAUUUUACCCCUAACCUGGGAACUUCCAUAUGCCACAGGUGCAGCCCUAAAAAAAUCUAAAUAAAUAAAUAAAUAAAUAAAGUUUACAAGGGGAUGUGUGCAGGUUAUUUGCAAAUACUAUGCUAUUUUAUGUAACGGAUUUAAGCAUCCUGAGAUUUUGUUACCCUUGACGGUCCUAGAACCAAUUUCCCACAGAUGCCAGGGACAUCUCUAUACAUCCUCCCAAAGAUGGUGCAGUAAAUUGAAAUAUACUCAAAUCUGGAGACAGUUGAAUUGAGGGAAUGUCUUUACACUUUCUAUUACUGGGAUCAGGGAAAUGGAGAGAGAGUGAAGUGAGCAGGAUGGCUAAGUCUAACCAUUAGGGAUGCCCUCAAGGAGCUUGCAGAAUCAUGGAGGAAAAUACAACAAAUAAAAAAAGUCUUUGCUGGUGUGCUAGAAGUUAAUAAAUUCUCUGGGGAAAACCAAGGCAAAGAAGGGGAAAACAGUGUGGGGGUUGAGGGAUGUAGUUUUAAAUAGGGUGAGGAGGGAAGGCCUCAUCGAAAAGGUGAUGUUGAGUGAAUACUUGAAGGAGGUAAAGAAGCGAGCUAUAUAUAUAAUUACAUAGAAAGCAUUCCAGGCAGAGGGAGUAGCAGGUGCAAAGACUGAGGUAGGAGGUGGCAUGGCUUAUUUAAGAAAAAGAAAGGAGAUGGCAUGCCUGAGGGUGAAUGAGCAAGGAAAGCAGAGCAGAAGACAGGGUUAGAGAGGUAAUAAGCAGCUGGCUGAACGAGUGUUAAAUUCCAUCCAGUUCUUUUUCUGCACCUGUGAAAUAAUUAUGUGAUUUUUCUCCUUUGAUUUCUUAAUGUAGAGGAUUAUGUUUUUAUAUUUGUCUGUGUUAAAUGUCUUUACGUUCCCGAGAUAAGCUAAAUUUGAUCAUGAUAUGUGAUUUCUUUAUAAACUAAAUUUAGUUUGGUAAUUUUUUUCAGGAUAUUUGCAUCUAUAUUCUUGAAUGAGUCUGGCUUAUAAUUUUAUUUUUUAUACAGCCAGAGUCAUACUAGCCUCAUGGAAUAAAUUGGAAAGAGUUCCCUCAUUUUCAACAGAAAUUACUAACUUGGACUUGCCCCUGUGUUUAUCAGUUUCCUCCUUUUUUUGUUUCCUUCUUACAUCUCAAACCUCCCUUCUGAGGUUAUUUUCUUUCUUUCUAAAAUACAUAUUUUAGGAGUCCCUUUAGUAAAGCACUGCUGCUAUGAAGUAUUAUACUUCAGUUUUUUGAGAAUGUCUUUAUUUCACUUUCAUUUUUGAAAGAUAGUUUUGCUGGGUAUGGAGUCCUCAAUUGGCAAUUAUUUUUCUUUCAGCAUUUUGAAGAUAGUAUCAAACUUUAAAUAUGAUACAGUUCCAGUUGUGUAAACAGACUGGAAAUAAACAUAUAAAUAAUCAUGAACACAGCACCCACAUGAUUGAAGUUAUUUAUCUCCUUGAUACUACUCCCUUUCUUCCUGAAACAGAAAGUAACUCUCUUGAAUCUUAUAUUUACCAUUCCCUUACUUUUUAACGAAGUUGUGGAACUAAGAUCAAACCACUGUGAGAAUUAUGGUGGCAGAACAAAAUAUAUAUACUUCUACUGGAAAAGAAGAAUAAUAUACCUAACAAAAAUAAAAAAUGAAAGGAAAUAUGAGAAUGCUAUUUUCCUUACUUCUCAUUACAUAUGGUAUUGCUAUUGUCCAAAGCAAUAUCUUAAAUGAAAUGAUUCCAACCUCUUUUUUCCUUAAACUUUUUUCUUAUAAUUUCAUAAAAUAUACCUAGUGGUGAAAAAUAUUUAUCUAGACUUCAGCAAUUCCUUAAGUGUCACAUUAUUUUCUACUCCUUCUAUAAAAUUAAAAUUAAAUGUAAAGCUUUUUAAUAAGAAUGGAAGUUAUAGUAUGAUCCUAUUUUUAUAAAAGUAUUUCUCCUAUUUAGUUUAUCUUUACAUAAGAUGGAGUGUUGGAGUUCCCGUCAUGGCGCAGUGGUUAAUGAAUCCGACUAGGAACCAUGAGAUUGCGGGUUCGGUCCCUGCCCCUUGCUCAGGUCUUUGUUUUCAGCAAUUAUCAAACUAAGCCUAAUUAAACUUGCUUUGCUUUGAUGUGCUGUAAUGUUUUCCAUAAUUUUAUAUUCUGAACCCAUUUUCAUAAGUCCUUGUUUGAAAUCAAGGAUAGACUAUGGAUUCAUUUUAUAUCUGUCAUGCCAUGAUUUAGUAUAUAUCUACUCAGGUUUUAAGAUGCUUACUUUUGGUCUA
This 3796-nucleotide long non-coding RNA is filed under the name Sus scrofa (pig). RNAcentral describes it as "lncRNA (ENSSSCG00065056150.1)". The record is from RNAcentral. Lineage: Eukaryota; Metazoa; Chordata; Mammalia; Artiodactyla; Suidae.